Mangifera indica (mango) is the source of this 3873-nucleotide RNA transcript. It is a transcript of the gene named histone-lysine N-methyltransferase ATX2-like, with no coding region annotated. The record is from RefSeq and is a predicted model, not a curated record. The transcript is spliced from 26 exons. Lineage: Eukaryota; Viridiplantae; Streptophyta; Magnoliopsida; Sapindales; Anacardiaceae.
GAGAGAAAAGGAAGAGAGUUAGAAGGUCUCUUACUCUCUUAGUAUUGCAGAGUUGCACGCUGGCGCUGGUGGUCUUAAUGACACGGCGGGAAAGGAAUGAUUUGGUGAAAAGAAAACAAAAUUCCACAUUUAUCCCUGUUUCCGUCCCUCCCUCCCUCCCUCCAAUUAUUUUAAAACCCUAAAAUAACCAGACUGAGACGUAUGCCAUGGCUUUCCAUCGCAAACAACAGGACGACGAUACUAACAUCGACAUUCAUAACACAGGCACUCCCAUUCGCUACGCUUCUUUGGACCGCGUUUACUCGGCUUGCGUCAGUUCCAGCGCCAGCGGUUCUUCCAACGUUAUGUCUAAAAAGGUAAAAGCUCGGAAGCUUGUAGUUAACCCUUUGGACGAUCCUGAUUUCUCCAAGCCCCCAAUCGUCCACGUAUACACUCGUCGAUCAAACAAGCAUCCGCAUUCUUCGUUUUUCAAGUCCGUGCUCUUUCGCCAGCCUGUGAAACAGGAAAUUUGUGAAUUAGAAGAUAAAAUUGAUGUUGAUUUGAGGGUUUUGAAGAAGAGGAGACUUGGGAGCAGUGAGUUGGAGAAAUUGGGGGUGGAUUCUAGCGUUUUAAGCUCCUUCAGUGGCCCACGCUUGAGGGACUGCAGAAAUAGUAAUAAAACUAACCAUUUUAAUUUGUAUAGUUCUAGCAAUGGUGGCAAUUUAAAGAGAAAGCAGCGUCAUCCCAAGACGAUUUUGUCUACUUCGCCAAGUACUAAACGAUGGGUGAGGCUGAGUUUCGAUGGUGCUGAUCCGAAAGCAUUCAUUGGGUUACAAUGCAAGGUUUUUUGGCCGUUGGAUGCAGAUUGGUAUUCUGGUUGUGUUGUUGGUUGCAACCCAGAGAGUAAACGGCAUUAUGUUAAAUAUGAAGAUGGAGAUGAAGAAGAUUUGAUUCUUUCGAAUGAGAAAAUUAAAUUUUAUAUCUCUCAAGAGGAGAUAGAACGCCUGAAACUGAGUGUCAGUUCUAAUAAUAUAGAUAAUGAUGGCUAUGAUUACAAUGAGAUGGUUGUGCUGGCUGCCACUUUAGACGGUUGCCAAGAACCUGAGUCUGGGGAUAUUAUUUGGGCAAAGCUUACUGGUCAUUCAAUGUGGCCAGCAGUUGUUGUGGAUGAAUCACUUAUUGGUGAUCAUAAAGGUUUAAAUAAAAUACUGGGAGGAAGAUCAGUUCCCGUGCAGUUUUUUGGUACACAUGAUUUUGCAAGAAUAAAUGUGAAACAGGUAAUUUCAUUUCUUAAAGGACUUCUAUCUUCUUUCCACCUGAAGUGCAAGAAACCUCGAUUCACUCGAAGCUUGGAAGAAGCAAAAAUGUAUCUGAGUGAACAAAAGCUUCCGAGAAGAAUGCUAUUAUUGCGAAAUGGCAUUGUUGCUAAUGUUUGUGAAAACACCUGUAGUGAGGAUGAAGGAAGUUCUGAUUCUGGUGAAGUUCGCAUAAUAGAUGAAAGGAUUCAGGGAACACCUGGAAGUCUUGGAACUUCUCCAUAUGUAGUAGGGGAUUUGCAAAUAAUAAGCCUGGGAAAAAUUGUGAAGGAUUCUGAAUAUUUUCAGGAUGAUAGGAUCAUGUGGCCUGAAGGAUAUACUGCUAUUCGGAAGUUCACUUCAAUAACAGAUCCUAGUGUUUGUAGCUCUUAUAAAAUGGAAGUGCUGCGAGAUCCUGAGUCAAAUAUUCGACCUCUAUUUAGAGUCACAUUGGAUGGAAACAAGCAGUUCAAUGGAUCGACUCCAUCUGCUUGUUGGAAUAAAAUAUAUAGAAAAUUAAGGAAGAAAAAGAUUAAUUCUUCUGAUGGUCUCAGUGCUGAUGGGGGUGUGGUGAAAAACUAUGAAUCUGGUUAUGAUAUGUUUGGUUUUUCCAGUCCUGAAGUUAUGAAACUUAUAAAGGGAUUGUCAAAAUCAAGACUUACCUCAAAAUUCUCUAUGUGCAAGUUGAGCUCUGGAAGAUGUCGAGAUCUGCCUGCUGGUUACAGACCUGUUCGUGUUGAUUGGAAAGAUCUUGAUAAAUGCAGUGUCUGCCACAUGGAUGAGGAGUAUGAGGAUAAUCUAUUCCUGCAGUGUGAUAAAUGCAGAAUUAUGGUUCAUGCUAGAUGUUAUGGGGAAUUAGAACCUGUUGAUGGUGUGCUAUGGUUAUGUAACUUAUGUUGCCCUGAGGCUCCUGAAUCUCCUCCUCCUUGUUGCCUCUGUCCUGUUAUUGGUGGUGCAAUGAAGCCUACUACUGAUGGGCGUUGGGCUCAUUUGGCUUGUGCAAUAUGGAUACCGGAAACUUGCUUAUAUGAUGUCAAGAGAAUGGAGCCAAUAGAUGGGCUAGAUAGAAUUAAUAAGGAUCGUUGGAAGUUGUUAUGCAGCAUUUGUGGCGUAUCUUAUGGAGCUUGUAUUCAAUGUUCAAACAGUACUUGUCGAGUUGCAUAUCACCCUCUCUGUGCUCGUGCAGCUGGUCUUUGUGUUGAGCUUGAGGAUGAAGAUCGACUUAAUCUUCUAUCUUUUGAUGAAGAUGAUGAAGAUCAGUGCAUUCGUCUACUUUCCUUCUGCAAGAAGCAUAGGCAACCAUCAAAUGAGCGUUUAGCUAUUGAUGAACGGGUUGGGCAAAUCAUUCGUCGAUGUUGUGACUACUGCCCUCCAUCUAAUACAUCUGGCUGUGCUCGUAGUGAGCCUUACAAUAAUGUUGGAAGAAGAGGGCGGAAAGAACCUGAAGCUCUUGCUGCUGCAUCAUUAAAGCGUUUGUUUGUAGAGAAUCAACCAUACCUGGUUGGUCGCUACUGCCAACAUGGAUUUUCAGAAAACAUAUUGCCUUCUAUUGGAGUUAGUGGCUCUAAAUUCUCUUUCAGCAUUCACAGGGAUGCUCACAACAAUAUUCUUUCCAUGGCUGAAAAAUAUAAACACAUGAGGGAGACCUUCAGAAAGAGAUUGGCAUUUGGGAAAUCAGCAAUUCAUGGGUUUGGCAUAUUUGCAAAGCAUCCGCAUAGGGCAGGAGACAUGGUGAUUGAAUACACUGGAGAACUUGUUCGACCUCCUAUUGCUGAUCGCAGAGAACACUUCAUUUACAAUUCAUUGGUGGGUGCUGGCACUUACAUGUUUCGGAUUGAUGAUGAACGAGUCAUUGAUGCUACAAGGGCUGGGAGCAUUGCACAUCUAAUUAAUCACUCAUGUGAACCAAAUUGCUAUUCCAGAGUAAUAAGUGUUAAUGGUGAUGAGCAUAUUAUCAUAUUUGCUAAAAGAGAUAUCAAGCAAUGGGAAGAGCUGACUUAUGAUUAUAGGUUCUUUUCAAUUGAUGAACAACUAUCAUGCUAUUGCGGCUUUCCAAGGUGUCGGGGCAUAGUUAAUGAUACUGAAGCAGAAGAGCAGGUGGCAAAGUUAUAUGCACCCCGUAGUGAAUUGAUACAUUGGAGAGGAGAAUGAGAGGAACCUACUUAGAUUUUAGUAGCAUUGAGAGAAAAUAGUGUUGGUGUGUCGACUUCUCCCAAAGGCAAUUAGAGGAAUCAGAGAAUCCUACUGGAGAAGUAAUUUCUUCUCUGUAGUUAACUAGAAUGGCAUGUCAUUUUAUCUAGGUGUUAUGCUUAGGCUCUAUGGUUUUCUUGUUUUAUAUUGUUCUUUUUUCACCAAGUUGGGGAAACAUUAUUUAAUCUUAUUUUUCUGCAAAUUGGCGUAGUAAUUUAUGUUAAGCAAUUUUAGAAUGUGCUUGAAAUCGAAGCGCCAAUUAAAACUAAUGUUCAAUUUACCUCUAGGGAAGCUGUGUUAUUUAGUUAGGUACACAGGCAUUAUGUGAUUACACUAACCAAUUGUAAAAAAAAACCAUUUUAUGGUUUCAAAUGAAAUGUGAGUGGUGAUAACCCUUGAAAAUUGAGUA